Molecule: small RNA, 527 nt
Filed under: Pan troglodytes (chimpanzee)
Lineage: Eukaryota; Metazoa; Chordata; Mammalia; Primates; Hominidae
Description: processed transcript
Source: RNAcentral
GCUUAAUAGCUGUAGGUCUGGUGUGAGAGUUCCGCUAUUCGGUCUCACACCUACAGUGGACUACCCGAUUUUUCGCUUCUCUUCAGGGAUGAGUCAUGUGGUGGUGAAAAAUGACCCUGAACUGGACCAGCAGCUUGCUAAUCUGGACCUGAACUCUGAAAAACAGAGUGGAGGAGCAAGUAGAGCGAGCAAAGGGCGCUAUAUACCUCCUCACUUAAGGAACAGAGAAGCAUCUAAAGGUACGUCUUUAAGGCAACUUUGUAGACCUAACCUUUAGCAGCUAAUCAAAGCCUAGGGAAGAAAUUUUAGGAAGUCUGUAAACGUUUUUUGUCCCCUCCUGUGCCUCUUUCAGACUGUCUUUAAGAACUAGCACUUUCUGUUUUUGGAACAGUUUGUAUAAUGUUGAAUGAUGGAUAGUUGUUGUUUCCUUUGGCAAACUGAGCCCAAAGAAUCUGGGUUUUGUAUAGUGGUUUAUCUGUUUGUAAACAUUUAUGUUUUGAAAUUUGAAACCAGUGUAUUUGUGGAAA